CGACCGCUAUCGGCACUG
RNAcentral lists this microRNA (18 nucleotides) under Dinoponera quadriceps. RNAcentral describes it as "dqu-miR-34-3p". Its record names the gene dqu-miR-34-3p. The record is from miRBase by way of RNAcentral. Lineage: Eukaryota; Metazoa; Arthropoda; Insecta; Hymenoptera; Formicidae.